Molecule: small nuclear RNA, 107 nt
Organism: Dromiciops gliroides (monito del monte)
Lineage: Eukaryota; Metazoa; Chordata; Mammalia; Microbiotheria; Microbiotheriidae
Source: RefSeq, a predicted model, not a curated record
GUGCUGGCUUCAGCAGCACAUAUACUAAAAUUGAAAUGAAAAAGAGAAGAUUAACACGGCCUCUGUGCAAGGAUAAUGUGUAAGUUUUUGAAGAGUUGCAUGUUUUU